GACGAACGCUGGCGGCGUGCUUAACACAUGCAAGUCGAACGGAAAGGCCCUGCUUUUGUGGGGUGCUCGAGUGGCGAACGGGUGAGUAACACGUGAGUAACCUGCCCUUGACUUUGGGAUAACUUCAGGAAACUGGGGCUAAUACCGGAUAGGAGCUCCUGCUGCAUGGUGGGGGUUGGAAAGUUUCGGCGGUUGGGGAUGGACUCGCGGCUUAUCAGCUUGUUGGUGGGGUAGUGGCUUACCAAGGCUUUGACGGGUAGCCGGCCUGGGAGGGUGACCGGCCACAUUGGGCCUGCGAUACGGCCCAGACGCCUACGGGAGGCAGAAGUGGGGAGUAUUGCACAAUGGGCGGAAGCCUGAUGCAGCAGCGCCGCGUGCGGGAUGACGGCCUUCGGGUUGUAAACCGCUUUCGCCUGUGACGAAGCGUGAGUGACGGUAAUGGGUAAAGAAGCACCGGCUAACUACGUG
RNAcentral lists this ribosomal RNA (468 nucleotides) under uncultured bacterium. RNAcentral describes it as "partial 16S ribosomal RNA". It matches the Rfam family "Bacterial small subunit ribosomal RNA", at positions 28 to 507 of the family's 1533-position model. The record is from RNAcentral.